AGCGAACGCUGGCGGCAGGCCUAACACAUGCAAGUCGAACGAACUCUUCGGAGUUAGUGGCGGACGGGUGAGUAACACGAGGGAACGUGCCUUUAGGUUCGGAAUAACCUAGGGUAACUUGUGCUAAUACCGAACGUGCCCUUCGGGGGGAUGAUUCAUCGCACUUCGUGCGGCUCGCUUCUGAUUAGCUAGGUGGUGAGGUAAAGGCUCACCAACGCGGCGCUCAGUAGCUGGUCGGUGGGGAUGAUCAGCGACGUUGGGACUGCGACACGGCCCAAACUCCUACGGGGGGCAGCAGUGGGGAAUCUUGCGCAAUGGGCGAAGGCCUGACGAAGCCAUGCCGCGUGUAUGAUGAAGGUCUUAGGAUUGUAAAAUUCUUUCGCCGGGGACGAUAAUGACGGUACCCGGAGAAGAAGCCCCGGCUAACUUCGUG
Molecule: ribosomal RNA, 433 nt
Filed under: uncultured bacterium
Lineage: Bacteria
Description: partial 16S ribosomal RNA
Rfam family: Bacterial small subunit ribosomal RNA
Source: RNAcentral